This is a long non-coding RNA of Coturnix japonica (Japanese quail), 15178 nucleotides long. RefSeq lists it as uncharacterized. NCBI's taxonomy places the organism in Eukaryota, Metazoa, Chordata, Aves, Galliformes, Phasianidae. The record is from RefSeq and is a predicted model, not a curated record.
CGGCGAGCACAUGAAGAACAUGCCACCACGCACCCGUCUGCCUCUCGGAACGUGCCUCAGCCCUCCCCACAGCUCUCCCACUUUUUGGAGGACCACAAUACUGCUCUCCAGUGCAGAUGUGCCUCUCACCACCACCACCCCCCUCCCACCAAGGAUCUCUCCUCUGGACUUAGAGAGAAGAGGAAAAGGCAGAUUUUGAGAAAUGAAAAUGAUUUAAGGAUGUCCCCGCUGCCUCUCUCUGCUGCCCUCCUCUGUAAUACCGAAGCAUUUGCAGAAAGGAAUAGCAAGUAAAUAAAUAAUAAAACCAAACUCUUCAGCCACAAGAGCAGCAGAGGAGGAACCGGGGAUCCUUUCCAGACUGUACAGACUGACAGAGAAAAACUUAGUGGAGAAAGGUCCCAGUGUGGGCAGGGCUGCUGAUGGAAUCACUGCAGGGCUGCAAACCCUGUGCCCAAAGCAGCUCAGACCCACAGCACCAGCACAGCUGGGCCCCACAUUACAAGGUACCCACUAGGUGUGGAGUUCAGGGGAUGGGGGGAGGAUGGGAGCACACAGAGGGGUUUGGAUAUGUAGGACUCCCUGAGUCUUUCCUUACAUUGCGCUGCUGCCAUGGGGAGAGAUGGACAGGGACCCCUGCACCCCUCUUUUCCCACCACCACGUGACAGAAGCCCAGAAGGCAGGGAGGUGGGGAAUGAGUCCUCUUAGACAAAAUCCAUCAGAGCAAACCAGAUCCCAAGUCACUCAGCCAGCUGUGUCACCAGAGGGGACUCUGUGCUAGCCAGCAUGUCUAAAACCCACAUCCCUUUGCCCCCUCCCUUUCCAACAAGCCAGGGAUACCCCAAGCCCUGGCUGCUCCAAACAGAACAACCAGGACAGAGCAAACCCUCAGCUCCAUGGGCAGAUCCUCUCCUGCCUCCCCCCAGCAGCUCUGCUUUGGGCACUUACUUUGCAGCGAGGUAAGAGGCUGUGCAACUUCUCCUUGCAGCCCCACCUUCAUUGGCAUUCAUUUGUCCCAGCAGCUUACAACAAUGUCUACUUCUUUAAAAAAAAAAUAACUAAAAACAAUAAUAGAAAGCAAAAGGAGCAAAACCAAACCAAAAACACCCCAGGCCCUUUCCUGCCUCCUUCCCCUUCAGCCUUUAGGGUUUCUCCUGUGCUGGGAGCCAGUGGGUGCCUGCCAGGCUCAGGGGUGCCCACAAAGCCUGAGAUCCCCCUGAAUUCAGCAGGUAAUCCUUUCCCGGUGUGCACACCAGCAGGUUCCCCUCGGGUCGCUCCGCUCGUGGGUCAUUGAUGCUGCAGGGAUCCAGAAGAGGAGAUGGGUUGGGAGCGGGAGCUGGGAGGGACAUGGAUGUGAAAGAGGUGGAAAUGGUAAGGCUGCCCUCGUCCUUUUAAAUAGUUGCACAGCCAGGGGACUCCGCUCGCUGGCUGGGGUGCCCCAGGUAUCCGGUUUCAGCAAACAUCAGCUAAUGAGCGCAGAUCCAGCCUCCGAGGGGCAGGUUCAGCGCUGCCGUAACGCACGGGAGGAUGGGGGCACCGGGGCUCCCCUAGUGGGGAAGGGGCUGCAGGCAGCGGGCAGGGCGCUGGGCAUCGCAACUAAGCACCCCCGGGGCUCUCCCCACGUCCCCCCCUCAGGCUUUCAAGGAGCGGCAGAACCAAAUCCCCUCCGGCUGGUUGUGAGCACUGACCUCGGGUACCCCCCGAAAUAAAUAGAGCCACUGACCCGCGUCCCUGAACCUGGAGCGGGAGGGGAACGCUCUCAUGUUAAGACAACUCAAGGAUCCACUGGCCUGACUCAGCAAAGCGGGUUUCACUCAAAAAAGUGACCCCAAAGUGCAGCCAAAGGCUAUGGGCUCCCCCAUAAAUCAGACCUCCUGCUCCUCUUCUGUUACCACGCGUGCUGAGGACUUCUCCUCUUUAAUAUGUGCAUUUGGCUGAGCCCACGGAUGGGCUGUGGUUUUGCAUCUCCCAGUUUCUAAAGGCACAAGAUUUUAUUAAUACCUUUGCUCUAAAACAUCUGCACUUUGCUUUCUUGCUGUAAUUGACAAAGCUUUAAGUAACAACAAUAGAACGCCAAGGAAUGAAAGAAGCCAUAUUACAAGUGGGGUAAAUAACCAGCAUCCUCAUGGCCUGCUUUCCUCCAGGGAACCUGUCCAGCAACGAGCAUCCAAAUCACACAUCCACAAACCUGCAUGGAGCUCCUGUACAGCAAACCCUGAGUGCUCACCCAGCCCAGCUCUGUGACUCUGGGGGCAACAGGCAUUCACACACUUGUCAGAAACCACAUCAAAUUUCUAUUUUCUCAGCUAUUUAUUUUUCCCCUCCACAGCCGUUUCUUGCAUGUUUUUCAGUCAUGCGUUCUUUGCUCAGAAACACAUCCUAGCCAAGACUGUUUAAUAUAUAUACAUACAUAUAUAUAUUAUAUAUAUAUAGGCCUAUAACUUUGCAAAGAAAUGCAUAGAAUCAAGAGAGAAAUGCUGUUGACUGCACACUGCAGCCUACUGCUCUUUCCCAUCUCUUCCAAAGCACCAAUGAGUAUUUAAUCAUCUCUCUCACCCCUAAAUGAGCUAAACUAACCCAAGGAGAUAAAGGCCCAUCUUCCCAGAGCAAGGGAUAAGGAGGAAAGCAGGAGGGAUGCUACAUCUCUUUGCAAUGAUGAGACUAAAAGCAAUGCCAAUGUUGAUGGACACACUCAACUUCACUUAGAUGCAAACAGAUGCAGAAAGGCUCUGUUGGCACACAGACACCAGCAUAGCAGAGCAAUUGGGAUAAGAGAAGGAGCUUAAAACAAAAGGAAGCCCAAUGUUAUUGAAGCCAAGAGUUGUGCUGAGUGAAUUCAGGUCCAAAAAAUUAGACCUUGUUCUUCAAAAAGAGAAAAGCCGCAACAUCUGAGCUGAACAGAAAUAUAUUUAGCAGAUUUAUUUUCCUUCCUUCCCACAUUUAAAUGGAGGCCGCUUUAAAACACUAAAUGAACUGCAGCAAAUUGGCACGGCGAUGAAAUUAAAUAAAAGAAAGUGGCUGUUGUAAUUUAAUUAGCCAAAAUAAGAACAGUAGAGGGGGGGAGGAGGAGAUGCCACCGGAACCACACGGCACUGGGAACAGAGCAUUUGCUUUGGACACUGGGUAUAUUUAGCUCAAUGCCUCGUUCAGAGGUAAGGCUGUGGCGUGGCCACAGAAGGCACAAGCAAUGUGAAUCCAGGCACAGGAAAGGCUUGUGGGAAGAAUCAAACAAACAGGGAGCUGGGAUAAAGGGCCUUUCAGGGCCCUAAGGGCUGCAGAGCAUUUAACCCGGAGCUGUUUGGGAGCUCCAGGCAGAGGGAACCCACCGACAUCACAUAGCUCUGCUCCUAUUUUAGGGACCACUGUUCGAUUUCUAUUUGGUGAUGCAAAACCAUUGCACAUUGCAUUUCUCAUUCCUCACAUGGACAGCAUCAAUCAUGCAGGAGAUGAACGGAGAGCUCAAAAAUCAUCUGUGCAACCCAUGCUCUGCCCUGCGCUAUCCUCUCCCCCCCAUUCCCAGCCCAUGCCAUAGGCUGCUGGUGACAUGUUUGAACUUCUGCAGCCGUUUGAUGUAAAAUGUUUUAAAUUCUUUUGGGGGAACACUAAAGGCUUUUGUCUCUUGACCGCUGCUGUGGGGAUGCCACAGCUGGCAAAGCGUGCUCACACAGUGCUAUUCAGCUGUGCCAUAUCCCACCGGGCUGACCAAGAGCUGGGAGCCGCUGUUAAUCAUUACACAGAGCUUUUUUCCAUUGGAAAGAAGGGAAACACAACACAGUGAUGCAAGCCCGAGCCCACCUUCCCUAAGGAAACACUGGCUGCUGGUCACUAUUCUGCUAUACAUUUCUCUCGAGGGCUCAGGUUUGGUUUGCACGACCCCUGAAGCAACAAGGUGCUGUCGCUUUUGUGCCAUUACUUUCUUACCUCUAGAGCAGAGCUCGUGGUAUAGAUCAUUUUAUGUGCAAUGAUAUUUAAGACCUUCGGAUGCAAAGCACUGCCAGUAAACUGUUAUUACUGUGCUGUGCAGUUGGCAGCAGGUUCUCCUGCACGAAGGAGUGUAAAUCUAUUUCCCGACCAGCUUUUACAUCCACCACAACCUGCCACCGUGCAGACACACAGCUCAUUAGGGCUGGUUUAGCUUCAUUUGGCUGUAAAGGGCCACAGGAAAAAACCUGCUGAUUAAACAUGCAAUUCAAAUACAUCUUCUGGAGCACAGCAGACAGUUCCUAGCACUUUAUCUGCACCGACUGAAAUGCAAUCUGUGCCACUUAGAGCAGAACAAUACUCCAUUUCUCCAUACUCCCCUUGAAUUGUUAGCACACAAAGCAGAAACGCAGCCCGUUUUCACAGAGAAGUUAUCUUCUGACAUACGACGUUAACUGAGUGUGUACAGAUCUGCUUCAAAGCCAAUAGGCUCCUUUCCUUCCAGCAAACACACUUCUUCACGUCUGCACACUCUUACUCUCUCCCCACUUCAAUAAUGAUAGCGUAUGGUAAAGCUCUCCAAACUGGAGCCACUGUAGAAAGGCUGUAUUUACUCAUGUUUGAGUAAGAACUAAUAAGAGACCUGGUUGUGUCUCAGCUCCUCCAAAUCCAAAAGGAAAAGGAAAAUAAAAAGGCAUCGAGUCAAUAUUUAUCCACCCGCUGGUGAAAUAAAUCCCCUCCUCCCCGGAGGAGAGGAGAAUAAAAUGCAGUGAUUGAAAUGGAUUUCACGGAAGGGGAUUUUUGUUUGUUUGCCUGUUGGUUUUCAGAGUUUGAGAGAUAUCUUCCCCUCCCCGUUGUGAUUUGAAUGGAAUAGGUGUGAAUGGAAGGCAUCCAUAGCAGCUUCACAGUGGGAUCUGCCAUUGAGGACCUGAAGCUCAGGAGCCUUUAUGCGCUUCCACUGAUGGGAGCAGCACUUGUGUGCUCUGUAUCACUCCUUAAGCCCCUGAUACACAGGAUAACAGGGGCAGCAGGUACUCCAGUCCCAUUGAUGUGUCUGUUGAAGGUAGCUGGACUUCCAACAGUGCCUGGGCCAAAUACAUGUCACAGAAGAGUGGAUGUCAGUAAAGUCACUUGGAUUUCACAUUUAAAAGCACAUCAUGAAGACAAACACAGUGAACUCUUGGUAAACUGUCUGCAUCCAAGUAGGGCAACUUCUACCACUUCUUAGGGGCAAAUAAGUGGGGGUUGCAUGAGCAGCUUCAGACACAGCACAGCAUUUCCACUGCACAGUAGCAUGGAGAAUUUGACCCUUAAAUACUUGAGAAGCACAGCCAAGGGGGCAGGCCCUCAUUCACACUGCCCAACAGCAUCACAUAGAGGGGCUGUUGUGCAGACGCAGUUGAGGCAUUUUUAAGCCUGUUUCUCAUUUCCCCAAAGUCUCCGGCACUGAAGAAGUCUUGUCACUGACCCGGGUUAGAUGAGGGUCAAGGUUUACACUCCAAAAACCAAGAAAGAAACGCUGUUUACUCUCCAGUUCCUCAGAAAACAGUCAAAUCCCUCUUCAUAUGGAACAUCUCAUUCGCGUGUCAUCAGCAAACAUUUCCACUGGCAAACUCACUGUGCUUCAACAUUUUCUUCACACACAGACCGACUGUGUGCUUUAUCAGUGCCAUCUCACUCCACAGGCAGCCUGACACCUGCCUUUCUCCUCCUGCUUUUCUCUGCCAUUUCUUUAUUACGAGCUCACAUUAAACUGUUGUUAAUGUGAGGGGGUGGAUGCCCCCUCCUUGGAAGCAUUUAAGGCCAGGCUGGAUGGGGCUGUGAGCAACCUGGUCUGCCAGGAGCUGCCUAUAGCAGGGGUUGGAACUACAUGAUCUUAAAGGUCCCUUCCAAUCCAAGCCAUUCUAUGAUUUCUUAUUUAGAUUUAAAAGGGCAGCUUUUAAUCUCACUGUGUCUUGAGAUGUUCUUCUCCGAACAGCACUUAUGAUUCCCUAUUCCCUUUUCCCACCCAACUCCACAUUUAGCUCAUGAGCAGGACCAAAAUGAACCAUGAGACUUUUCAUUAACCAGCAGAAUGGAAUACAAGAGACUACUUAGCAUUUCACAUCUCCAAAGCCCUGAAUAAGCACCAAGGCUCAGUGAGUGAUGUUGGGGAGGGAGGGGCACGAUGCUCUGCAAGGCUGGCACACACAUGAUGGCCCCACUGCUAUGGGGCAAGUACAGCCCUGGGCACCCACUGAUGUGGGCAGCCUGAUUCCCACCUCAGAGCAACAAGCAUGGGGCCCUGAGCCAGCCCUCCCCAUCAAACAUGCAAUGGAUAGGGCUGUAGUGCAAGAAAACGCUUUGAUGCACCCAGCACACCUUUCAUCAUCGCAUCCUAAAAGCCAUUAUUAAUGUGAGCUCUAACUCAUCACCACCCACACAGCUUUCCUUAAUUCACCAGCUGGACAUAGCAAGAGCUCCAGAUACUUAAAGGCUCCAUUCUGAAGGAGGAGAAGAACAUGGGGCUCCUCCACUGAGUCACAACCACACGGAGCUUCCCCUACCCACCCACCCUGCAUUCAGCAGCGCUGCAAACUGCACCCCUAUCCUACACAUGGUCAGCCAAGGGAACUCGCAGAGGAAAUUAAGUUUCUCUCUUCUUCUUGAGCUGUUUUUAAUUUCUUUCCUGACACGCCGUUAUUAGACAACAGGAACAAACUAGUUUCUGUGCAAAACUUUCCCUGAAGUAUUUGGAAGAUAGAGAGAAAUGGCAAGGUUUCUAUUUUCCUUCUUCUUUAAAGGAGAAAUAGCACUGAAUUAAUACGAACAGCACUGAUCAGCAUUUUAUUUUCUAGCUAUGACUUCUUAAUUUUUUUCCAGCCCUACAAAGACCACCCUCUCCCCAUAGCAAUGCUAGGAGGGGACUACGCUGAAAAUUAUAGUUUCCAGAGUUUGCAAGAGAACCACAAACGCUUAAUUAUAGUUAUUGACAUAGCAAACACCCACUGCAGGCUUAAUCUUCUCUUGGCCAGAAAUAACCACACCAAGUAAAGGUAGCAAACCAACAUCAGCCCCAGCCAAGGACAGCUCAGUAGUGCAUGGGCAUGAAGACGUGCCGUGCUCCUGCACAGCACCAUAGAGCCAGCAGCACUAACCUGGCAUGUUUGGGCUGGGUUUACUGUUAGCUGGGUUGCACGUUAGCUGUUUCAUAUGCCUUUCUCCCAGUUAAGCUUUGAAGAGCUCCUCUAUGUGCUGAGAGCAGCAGCUGUGCUCUGCACCAUCAGCACAUCCUUGCUGUGAGCAUCCCAUUUUCCAUGGGUGCUGGUGACAGUAGUCUGGAAUGGAGGCUUUGCAGUUGGAGCUGUGAUGCUGGGAGUGGGUAGAUGUGAACCCUAUUUGCUUGCUGGCUGUGCUGGCAGACCCUGAAGGAGCAGUGCCUGUGGGCAGCUCGCUGCCCUCUGAGCAGACUCCACGCUGCCAACAGCUGCAGUCACAUCAAAGCCCAUAUGUCUAAAGCGAUGCUAACAGUGUUAGAGAAGGUGAAGCACCAGCUGUUUUUUCCCAGGGAACCACAAGAGACUGAGUGCUGAUGGCACAUCACCAUGUGGCACUGAGCAGGCAUGCAGCUACCAUAAAAUCCCACAGACCAGGAACACGGCCUUGGAGAGGCAGGGAGGAACAUGGAUAAGAUGGGAGAUGAGGUGCAAGCCUUGAAAGGAUCUGAACAUUGUCACUAACAGCUCUGGGGGUAAAGAACUGAGCUAUUGGAAAUGAACCAUCCAUGGUGCACCAACAUGGGAUCAUAGAAACCUCCUUCAGUCUGAAGGAGAGAAAGAAAAUGGGAUAAAAGCUAAAUCUGAAUGGGCUGGUUAUUGAAAACAGAAGUGCUAUACUUAUUUGUUGCUCAUCUCCUAUGCACCAGCUUUAGUCCGCUGAAUAGCUACAGAAUUCACUGGCAUUAUUCCUAAUUUUACAAUGAUUUGGUAGAGAGGGGACAAAGGCAAGCAAACAAAGCUAAUUGCCUUCAGUGUUCUGUUUAUCUAUUUUUUGUUUGGCCAAACAAAGAGGACGUUCAGGUCCAAGCUGACUAUGGAGCCCACAGUUUGCAGUUUUGACAUCCGACAUCUUAGUAUUUACUCCUAUCAAGAGCUUCCUUAUCUCCAUCUGGUCACUACAGAGACUCUGGUGACUUCACUACUAUUACUACAGAUCAAUCAACCCUUGCAAAGUCCUUCAAAAAAGCAGGAAGUCCUCCAAAAGCCAAUCCUUUUUGUCAUAAAAAGAACAAAGCCAGGACUAGAUUAAUCACUGCAUGUUAUUUCCAAUACAAAAGUCCAAGCAGAAGAAGUUCCAGUUCUAAUAACAAAGCUAUGCAUUCUCACCCAUCCAUACCAGCGUGCUUUUGUUCUUUGUGCCAGACAAGAACACUCUGAGCAGAAAUGUAAAUAAUACAGCAUGCUCUGCAGGGAGAGCACGCUGCUGGAAGUAAGCAGCAGACUAUGGGCUGUAUGAACCACAAGCAACCAGUUUUACCAGGCUCAGCAUCUGCCAGUAUCUAUGAUUUCCCAACAUAGACUGAGUGAGGCAGCAGGGCUCCAACGUGGUUGGAGUAGAGGAGCAAUAUAAGGAAGAGGACAAAACCCCAGGCUGCUGUGAGAGCAAGACAUUUAAGAUAACCACCAGAACACAACAGGUUGUCCUGGGGUUCUGAGCAGAGGAUGGAGCUGGAUGAGCCUUUCAACAUCCAGUACAGACAAGACCAAGGGAGCUGAACCGGCUCAGGGCUUGCUGCUCAGCAACCAGGGCUAUUACAACACCUGCUCUACAAAAAUUUACGAUUCAUCCCUCCAGCUCAGCUGUAAGAGAAAGAUUUGGAUCUUUUAGAAUAUAAAUUAUUGCUUUCUAUCUACACAGACCUUUUUCAGAGCAGACCCACAAGGAACAAGGGAAAGCAGGGAGUGAGGAGAAGCCAAUGCAGACCGAUGCUCAGUCUGAUCCUGUUCCAAAGGGGAAAGUUUCGGAUAAGCUUGACUGAAAUACGAGCAAGAUAGGCUUCAAAUAAACCAAAGGGAGAGAACACACCAUUGUCUGAAACCAGCAGCUUUUACAAUGUCUAGGAAUAGGAAUAAGAAAAAUCAGAUGCAGAGCAUCACCUAAAACACCAUUUUACAUUGGGAUGAAAGCCAGCAGAGGGAAAAGAAAGCAUCAAGUUGGAGCCAGAUCUGCAUUUUGACAAAGAAAUUUUCGGGUCAUCCCUCAUUAUUUGUAAAGCUCUUAAAAACCAGCUUGCCUUCACAGAAUGGAAGCAAAGCUCUUAAUCUCACUUUGUAAACACAGAAGGAAACUGCAGGUUAAAGCCAAAGGUUUGGAAAGUGACUGGUUCAAGGUGCUUCCACUUCUGUACCCCUCUUGGUGACCCCAGAACAAAAGCCAUUGUUUCAGCAGCUUCAUUUGCCAAAAGCACUCCCCAUUUACACCCAUAAGAACCUGGUCAUUUUCCUACAUAUAGGAAAGCAUUUCCUACGUCCAAAAAUAUAUUUUUGAUAUCCUAACACUUUAUCAUCUUCUCCCAUUCCUCAUCUAUUUCUUUCCACCCAGCCAUAAGACUACUUGGAAAACAAUGUGAAUCAUUUUCAGUCUCCUACCCCUUUUCCUACACUGUGAGAUUCCUCAUUUCCAGUGACACCAACAAUCAGCAGGAAACUCAGCAUCUCAAUUUCCAAAAGGAAAAGAAGCGACAAACUGGGUCCGCCAUCUCCAAGCUUAUUGCUGAGAGCUGCUCUCAACCCCAAGGAAUCCUCCAAUGUUCUCCAAGGAAUUGGGUGCUCCCCCAGGUUUAGCCAAUGGUGUGAAGAUGAUGGUUGCUCUGCUAAAUGCCUCGGAUGGUUUUGGAGGAUCCCUGCUGCCUCCCAGCUCUCUGCCCUGGGAAAUCAAAGCGUGCUCUGCACUAUCUACCCACCAUCUCUAUCUGGAUCAGGGCUUUGCCUCAGAACAUCAGACCUCCCUGCCUCACACAUGGGGUGCAUUCAGACACAACCCAGGUGUUUCCUCAAUACAGUGCUUGGCAGUUGCAGCAUCUGCAAGUUUCUUCCUGGCUAACACAUCCCAGAGCAAGCACUGACAUGGCUUUAUGGGAGCACAGAGAUCAUACUGGAUGGUGAGAGACAUUCAUCAUGGAUUUGGAGGCUCCAAAUAGAACUUACACCUUCUUUCUGGACUUGCAGUAACUGCGCUGCUUUACACACACCUCUUCCUCACUUCUGCAUCCUCGUGUUAACCAUUUUCCUGUUACAUUCAUUAUGCACAUCCUAUGAACUACAAUAGAUUUUCUUUACUUGCUAUCACACCACACACAUUAACAGAGAUUAUCAGCAUCAUUGAGAGAUGCAUACAGCAAAACAUACCCCUCCACCCUGUACCAGAAGAAAGCUGGUCAUGCCCAGCCUUAUUCCAUUAUUCAGCCCUCUAUAGAAACUCCAUGCACAGCAACAAGAAUUCAGGCACCAAAAUGCAAACACGGAAUUGGUUCCACCAUUGAAUCGAAGGCAUUGUGGGCUCAGGAGGUGGAAACCCUGGUGCUGUAGGGAACAAGCAUCCCACAGAGCUGCAGGCAUUGGCUGCACGUUACCCCAGCCCAUGGUGGUCUUCUGGCUUCACUGCAGGUUCAUUUGCUGUGGGGAUGAGCGUGGAGUUCAUCCGUGCUUCCUUGCUCAUUAUGCAUUCCUCCCUCCCUGUUCCAAAUUAAUGAGAGUUUCUGCUCACUCAGCAGAAAUUAGAUGGAUCUGCUUUUAAAAAAGGGCAAUUAGCUCAGAGGAACCGGUGGUUCCUUCCUGUGUGCCAGGUGAGAACAGCGAGCAGAGAGAACUACAGCUAUGGGCUCCAGGAGCCUCCAGACACCUGGCUCCUACAGCAAGCAAAUUUCUCAUUGGGAAGCACCAGGAUUUCUUCCCCACAUCACAUUUUCUUCAGGCUCAUUUACCUCAUUGUGCUCAAGUGUGAGCCCAGCUUGUGGAUGUGUGGCUGGCAGCAGGAGGAAGCUCCCAGCACACAAACCCUGCUGCACGCCUCCUGUCCCCGACCCCUGGGGAUGCCUAAAGCCUCUCUGUUUGCUCAGGCUUUUCCUGAUCAAAGUGGGGAAGGCUCUUUCCAUUCUUAGAGCUGGGAAGGAAAGAACUACUAGCGCUGUCGGCGUUGCUUGCCAACGCAAUUCAUCUUUUGAGCCUGUAAAGCUGUGGUUAUAAGGACGCAGAGGGACGUGUCAUGUCGCUGGAACGAGAUGCUCAUACAGAUGUGGAAUCAGUACGGUCCAAAGAGCAGAAAGGGGAGAAGGUGGGGAAAGGCAGCCAAGAUCUCCAUUCAACUUUCCAUUUUAGAAAUGCAGAACACCACAUUUCCUACCAGAGGGCACAGGGGGAGAAAGAUGUUGGGCACUUUUGAGGAUUAAUCAGCAAUAUCAAAGUAAACAGAAAUUAAGACAAUAACAACUCAAUACGCAGCUCACUUAUGGGUAUUUUCAAGUCCUUACGUGACUGCUGAAACCCUAUAAUCUUCCACACUGCUACGUAAACAUCCUACGUAGAAGAUCACUAGAAAGCUUCGUUCUUAUUCCAGAACUCUAAUUCCAUCCUUGAACAGCAAAAGCAUGAACCUGUCUUUAAUUAUAAAUGACUGUCUCUUGUUAAUGUAACAGCCGGUCCUGAAUUCAUCAUGAACUAAAAAAGUUUUACUAAAAAAAGCUUUAGAGUUGGCUGGAAGGGGAAAAAAAAUAGAACCAAAAUGCCUAAAAAGAUUGUUGUAAUGGUCCUACCUUGUUAUUUCAUGAGUUUAGCAGACUGCAGUUAAACCCCUGCACAAAAGGAGGUGCUUUGGGAUUUCUCCUCUAUUCCCUACAGAAAGAGGCUGGAACUCUUCCCACCUUGCCAAGACUUGACUUCAGAGCCUCCUGCCUUCCCUCCAGCAGCAGUCAGCCCCAAAGGGAGCAGAUACAGUCCUGGGAGGUUAGAGGAGAUCCUAUGGACGGGAAUGCCUGCAGCUCCUUAUGGACAAUUAAAGCUUUAGCCAUGGGUGCCCCCUGGUGACUUGGUGAGUAAUUAAGCACAACCAUUGGAGUCUAAAAUGGCACAUCACAACGGAUACAGUCACGUUUGAGACACAGAUAACAGGCUGGUGCUUCAUACAGAGCAAAUCUCAAGUUCCAGGGAAGAUAAAGUUUUCCUUUGCUACAACUUUGCAGCUCAUUGUCUGGGGUGAUUUGGUUCUGUUCUGAUAUUUCUGCUGUGUACAAACACUCCUAAUUUGCUCCACUUUGAUUACCACAGCACAGAGGGGCAAAGUUGCACUUUGUCCCUACAUCAAACAGCAGCUACUUCAGUUCUAAGCCUCAAUCAAGACUUAAACGGGCUUAAUUUUCUACCUUUUGAUCAAAAAGCCUUUAGAACAGCACAUCCUCAGAUAUUGCUGCUGGCCUUCGAAAAUAAGCAGAAAGAACAAGACAGAACUUCUGCUUCCUCCAAUCCAUUGCUUCAUCUUCAUCUUGGGAAGCAUAAAUAGGUAUUUUGUCUCCCAAAUCCCUGCACACUGUGCAGAUUCAGAAUGUGAGAUCUGAAGUCCAAAGCUGAAUUUAGCUGUGACCAAUUGCAUGAGUCAAGUCGUCUCUCUUUGGUACUCCAAUGAAGGCAACUCUUUUAAUGGUGGCAGCUUGGGAAAAUACACCAAAAAUUAUAAAACCACCCAUAAAAUAAAUAAGGAAUUCCACUGCUAUUUGAAUCCCUCAGUACAUACAAGUGAGAGAAACAGGGUUAGGAAAUGUUAGACUGCUUUUAUAAUUCCUUCAGGACCAACCAGACUGGCUGCGCUGCAGAUGAUUGCUGGAAAUAUUAGGAUCAUUACAGGAAUGGCUUAUGAAGAUUAACUCUAGUGAAUGCAGAGUUUCAGGCAUGGUUCUGUCUCUCCCAUCACCAAAGUCACUGUGCACAUACACGGCUUUAGCUGCUACAGGACUCAUGAAAACCUCACCAGGUUUCAUUGCUUUGAUGCCAAAAGUGUAAUAAGAUGUUUUGGGAAACUAGUUUCAAGGCCACAUUAAUGAGCACCACCAUCAUGUGGGACAUUUGCUUCUUCCAUCUGUUGAAGCAAAGCUAUCAUAGCUGCAUCAAAUCUACGCAAAGCUGAAAAACCACAACUCCUUCACAAACAUGGAAAUACCACUGGAAAAGCUUUAUGAGUGCCAUGAGCCUAUGGUACAGUCGCACUGUUCUCAUGGGCAGUGCAGGUGCUUGGGGUGGGUGAGCUCUAAUGGUCCCUUCCAACCCAAACCAUGGUUUCUAAGCCCUUUCUAAACCAUUCCGUGGUUUCGAAGUGCCAGAACUUUCAUUUCAGAUAAAAAAAAUAAACAUUAAUUUUGAAAUGGAGACAGCAAAAUUUCAAUGUGCAAACACAGGAGAAAGCUUCUUGGGCUUGAUUCUGUUGUUCCAGCUGAAAACUACUUAGAACUGACCCGAUGUGAACAACUCUUUGCAUGUACAUUAUUCAUCCAAAAGACGCCUUUGCUCAGUUCCAAACAUUCACAUCUUACACAUUGUUUUGCAGCUAAGAAAUGUAUGUAUGAGGAUUUCCAUCAGCUACACAAGAGGAUCCAGACCUACAUUAGCAGGAGAUUCUUUCCCUGUUGCUUUGGCCUCAGUUUAGGGGCUGCUACAGAGGUAAAGCUGAUGCCUGAAGCCCAGCAAUGCUGCUGGGCUGAAAUCAGGCUUGUUUGCAUCUCUCUCCCAAUUUUUGGGGCACCAAACCCACUCUGAGGUCCCACCACGGGGGCACCAAUUUCACCAUCCUGCUGAGCAUCAGGAGACUGCAGCAUCAAAGAGGGGGGAGGGUUUGUUCACAGAUUAACAGUUAACAGCAUUAUAAGGCACUUCUGGAGAUGUGCACCCAAAUCUUCUGUUCCUCAUUAAGAUUAAUGAAAGGUUUGGAUUUGAAUCCCUAUGCUUCCUCAGAAACCUCAGUCAUUACGGUUCAGAAGUCAUCUCUGUCCUACAAACCCUCCCAGGAUGAUUUAUGAAGCGAUACAUGCACUAUUUAUUUCUUUUUAAAGUCACAGUUGUUACUUAAAGCUGAACUGCACGUUGGGGUAAAGAAAAAAAAACAAGGCUUUAGGGAUGCACUGAUGGAACAGAUUCAAUGGAAGGGAUCAGAGCCUUUUAGGGGCUGAAGCAUCAAUGACACAAAAAGCAAAGAGAGCUGAAGCAGCUGCGCUGUAACCAUUUCUGCAGUUCAUUUUCCAAGAGCUUCUCCUUUGCACCAAGCUUCUGCUCUCAGAGUGGAACACGAGUGACGUGAAUGCUAAGCAGAGUCAGGCUCUGAUGGUUGCCAUUACCUAAUGCUGUGCUGUGACACAAAUGCUGCUCUUAGGAAUAUUCCAAGGGCUCAGGAAGAGGCUUACAAGAGCUCACAGUGUUCCUGCUGCCCACCACGAACGCUGCCUUUACCCAUGGUGGAACCACGCUUGUGCUCCUGCAUGGAGCCAAAGAAUGACAGCGAACCUCAGCAAUGCUGAGGAGAGGUUCCCUCAACCUCUGAGAAGACUGGUUCAGUCUGUGAUUACAACUCCCUGGAAAUUGCUACGUAGACAUCACUGGAGCAUAACAUUUCAUCAGGAGCCCCCAAAAUAUCCCUGCAAAUACAUGCUGGGGAAGGCUAAAAAGACCUCACAGGCACAGAAGAUCACAGAAAACCUAUUAUCUGUCUGCAGCACUGAAGCAUCCAUCUGUCAACACGGGACCUUUCAGAGAGCGUUGCAGCCACCCACUAAAUGGGUUUUUGAUUAGCCAUGGUAUUUAAAACAACCACAGACUUCUACGGCAAACGCGGGGCUGCCAGGCAAAGGGUCAGGCCCAAAACUCAGCCCAACUUCACCGCAUUCUUCCACUGCUUCUGGGCUGAAGUUCAAGUGAACUUCUUGAUGGGGAGAUGGGUUUAAGUUUAAAACUGGCAACCCUGCCUGAUUUUAUCACAAGUCUCAUGACGCUCGGCACGUUGCUUUCAACCUCAGCCUUUGGAAACUGGCACAAUGAAUUCAAGCUCUGCUUACAACCCGCCCUCCCCCCAAACCUCUACUCCAUGUAGAUACGAGACAUGAAUCCUACACACACACAUAGGACACAGAAGGAAAGGACUACACGAAGCUUCAUUUGUCUCCUUAUUCUUGGGACACAUACAACUUUUUGAACAUCUGGUAUUAAUAGCUUGUUACUGCAAUAAGAACAUGAAAACUUGCUUUCA